This 482-nucleotide ribosomal RNA is filed under the name uncultured bacterium. RNAcentral's name for it is "partial 16S ribosomal RNA". It matches the Rfam family "Bacterial small subunit ribosomal RNA", at positions 30 to 507 of the family's 1533-position model. The record is from RNAcentral.
AUUGAACGCUGGCGGCAUGCCUUGCACAUGCAAGUCGAACGGUAACGGGCCUUCGGGUGCCGACGAGUGGCGAACGGGUGAGUAAUACAUCGGAACGUGCCCGAUCGUGGGGGAUAACGAGGCGAAAGCUUUGCUAAUACCGCAUACGAUCUACGGAUGAAAGCCGGGGACCGCAAGGCCUUGCGCGGACGGGGCGGCCGAUGGCAGAUUAGGUAGUUGGUGGGAUAAAAGCUUACCAAGCCGACGAUCUGUAGCUGGUCUGAGAGGAUGAUCAGCCACACUGGGACUGAGACACGGCCCAGACUCCUACGGGAGGCAGCAGUGGGGAAUUUUGGACAAUGGGCGCAAGCCUGAUCCAGCCAUGCCGCGUGCAGGAUGAAGGCCUUCGGGUUGUAAACUGCUUUUGUACGGAACGAAAAGCCUUCUUUUAAUACAGGAGGGUCAUGACGGUAACGUAAGAAUAAGCACCGGCUAACUACGUG